UACGGAGGGAGCAAGCGUUAUCCGGAAUUACUGGGUUUAAAGGGUGCGUAGGCGGCUGUAUAAGUCAGAGGUGAAAGGUUGUCGCUUAACGAUAGAAUUGCCUUUGAUACUGUAUAGCUUGAAACUAGGUGAGGUUGGCGGAAUGUGACAUGUAGCGGUGAAAUGCGUAGAUAUGUCAUAGAACACCGAUUGCGAAGGCAGCUGGCUAACCUAAGUUUGACGCUGAGGUACGAAAGCGUGGGUAGCAAACAGG
This 253-nucleotide ribosomal RNA is filed under the name uncultured bacterium. Its description in RNAcentral is "partial 16S ribosomal RNA". It matches the Rfam family "Bacterial small subunit ribosomal RNA", at positions 524 to 776 of the family's 1533-position model. The record is from RNAcentral.